CAAAAACAAAGCAAAAUACUUUCUAUAUAACUAUUAAGGAUACAUACUGUAGCAGCCAAUACAUUUGAAUUACAGAAGAAAUGUCUCUGAUGAAGGGAAAUUAUCAAUGGAAUCAUUGUUGGUACAAUUCAAACUCCAGCAACCGAGACAAAAAUGCGGGGAGGGUAACAUUUAAUUAAAAUAUCUAUCUACAAAGAUGCAGUAUACCAAUUCUAAAAUACUAGUACAACAUACUCAAUAUUGAAAAGGGCUCACUGGGAAAAGCAAGAAGAAACCACCCCAAACAAGAAUAUAUGGAUCAAUCGUUUCACAAUUACCUAAUUUUAAGAUCUAUAACCGGAUCCAGAAGCUGGUGGGCCAGGUGGCAACCUGUUAGGGGUGCGACGGCUAGCAGAACUAGAGCGUGAAUUUGUAUCACCAUUUUCAGCAGGUUCAUUGUAACGGCGACUACUGCCACUUGAUCCAUACCUAGA
RNAcentral lists this unclassified non-coding RNA (473 nucleotides) under Hevea brasiliensis (rubber tree). Lineage: Eukaryota; Viridiplantae; Streptophyta; Magnoliopsida; Malpighiales; Euphorbiaceae. The record is from RNAcentral.